AUGGCCUGCUUCCCUUGCAACCCUCUUCCCCACCUUCCCCCCGGCACUACAAUCAUCCCGCUUGGCCCUCUUCGUGCUCGCCGUGGAUAUGUGGUGCUUGGAGGAGAGCUUCCGAUGGUCUGCGAUGAGUGGGCAAUCGCCACACUCGUCCCUGAGGUAUCUGCAGAGGAGUUUCAUGGUGCCAUUGCUCUGAUCACCAACUACCUGGAGGGGCGCGGAUGGCGCAUCAACUACACCUCUCGUUGUGGUAUGGGCACCGCUCUUAUUCAGUUUACUACUGCCUGUUCGCGUGAUACUGCUGUCAGUCUCAGUCUGUUUCAGAUCGGGGACUCUGUUCUUAGAGUUAGCAGGCAGGACAGAGGUUUGAACUACCGCAACAUUACUUUUACACAUGAUAUAUGGAUAUUGCUUCUAAACUAUCCUCUUGAAUGCUGGGAUGUUGGGGUCAUUAGUCGUACUGUUUCUCCUUAUGGCCGUUUUCUGAUCUGGAACAAAGAUCCAAGGGACAAGUCGAGGGUUGUUGUUAAGCUCAGGGUUAUGAAUGUGGACACCAUACUUGUUAGCUUGGUCGUGCUGAGAAACCUUGAUGAUGUGGGCUAUGGUGACUCAUGGACCUGUCCUACAUAUAUUUUGUCUCGGGAGCUGAUUGGUCAGCAUGGGAGAGAUGAGGAUCCACUACCCCCUGAUGGUGGUAACCCUCACCCACUUCCCCAUGUCCAUGGAGGGUUUUGGCACGAUGAGGUUUUAGGGAAUAUCCCUAUGGAUCAGGUGGUUAUCAACCCUCACAAUGAGAAUCUAGGUGCACCAUACGAAGAUGUUCAUGUUGUUCAUAAUGAAAAUGUGAUCCAUGAUGAUGAACACUUGGCUGCUGCAGUGGAUCACAUUGUUGUUGAUCAUGUGGUGGCACCAGCUAGGGAGGAUGCACAUGCUCCCAUUCAAAUACACUCUAGCACUCACUAUGUUGCACCACAUGAGACACUUGGGCCUGAUUACAUCCCAAUUAAUCCUACGCCCCAGCCCAGCACACAGAAUGCUCCCAGCCCUGUGUUUGUCCCUAAGAAUAGCAACAUGAGCUACAAUGACAUGCCAUCUUCUAGCAGUGUCCAGCAUGUACAAACAAGAAACAUCUCUGUUGAAGGAGCAACCGAGCACAUCAAUGUUCUUCAGGAACUUAUUAGAAAUCUGGUGACAAAUGCUUAG
This 1200-nucleotide ribosomal RNA is filed under the name Triticum aestivum (bread wheat). RNAcentral's name for it is "partial small subunit ribosomal RNA". The record is from RNAcentral. Lineage: Eukaryota; Viridiplantae; Streptophyta; Magnoliopsida; Poales; Poaceae.